Molecule: ribosomal RNA, 254 nt
Filed under: uncultured bacterium
Lineage: Bacteria
Description: partial 16S ribosomal RNA
Rfam family: Bacterial small subunit ribosomal RNA
Source: RNAcentral
UACGGAGGGUGCGAGCGUUAUCCGGAAUCACUGGGUUUAAAGGGUGCGUAGGCGGCGAUGUAAGUCAGUUGUGAAAUUCCCCGGCUCAACCGGCGGGACUGCGAUUGAUACUGCGUUGCUUGAAUCGGGUUGAGGCAGGCGGAAUGUGGCAUGUAGCGGUGAAAUGCUUAGAUAUGCCAUAGAACACCGAUUGCGAAGGCAGCUUGCUGGGCCUUGAUUGACGCUGAGGCACGAAAGCGUGGGGAGCAAACAGG